Molecule: non-coding RNA, 96 nt
Organism: Jaapia argillacea MUCL 33604
Lineage: Eukaryota; Fungi; Basidiomycota; Agaricomycetes; Jaapiales; Jaapiaceae
Source: the annotation of a GenBank genome assembly
GUCUCGAUGGUCUAAUGGUUAUGACGCGCGUCUCACAUUCAAACUUGUGUUUGUUGUGCCCACUCGAGGCUCCCGGUUCGAUCCCGGGUCGAGACA